GGAAUAUUGGUCAAUGGACGAAAGUCUGAACCAGCCAUGCCGCGUGCAGGAUGAAUGCCCUAUGGGUUGUAAACUGCUUUCAUACAGGAAGAAACUUUUCUACGUGUAGAAAACUGACGGUACUGUAUGAAUAAGGAUCGGCUAACUCCGUGCCAGCAGCCGCGGUAAUACGGAGGAUCCAAGCGUUAUCCGGAUUUAUUGGGUUUAAAGGGUCCGUAGACGGGACAAUAAGUCAGUGGUGAAAGCCUAUAGCUUAACUAUAGAACUGCCAUUGAUACUGUUGUUCUUGAAUAUACUUGAAGUGGGCGGAAUAAGUCAUGUAGCGGUGAAAUGCUUAGAUAUGACUUAGAACACCGAUUGCGAAGGCAGCUCACUAAAGUACUAUUGACGCUGAGGGACGAAAGCGUGGGGAGCGAA
This 417-nucleotide ribosomal RNA is filed under the name uncultured bacterium. RNAcentral's name for it is "bacterial SSU rRNA". It matches the Rfam family "Bacterial small subunit ribosomal RNA", at positions 358 to 772 of the family's 1533-position model. The record is from RNAcentral.